AGACGUGCUAGCCGCGGUGCGCUGACGGGUUCAAGGAAAGUUUCUGCUGCUCGCUUCUUUUUAGUUUUCUUGCAAGCAAACUCAGUCCCACCUGGGGACUUCUCUGCGCUGACCAAAAAUAUCCUAUUUAGGGCAUCUCAAAUUAAAUUAAAGGCGCUUCUUUCUCUUAACUUGGAGUCAGUGUUGUGCCAGGAUAAGAGGGAAACACCAGCUGGAAGUUGAAAAGAUUUUUAAAGCAAUGGCUGAGACCGGCUGGGAAGGAGACAGAGGCAGCUUUCAGAGAGACGGAAGGAAAAAGCAAACCGGGGCGCCUUCAUGCCCUGGUUAGGAGCAAGUGUGGAUGUGCAGAUCCCUUGAAACCCUACUGGUGCUUCACUUCUCGAACCAAAUUGGCAAAGGAAUCAUAAGGCAACAGAUUAGAAUUAAGAAAAACCAUGGUUCCGAUCACUCAGUUGAACAUGGUAACAAGCAAGGAUUUGGACCCCUGUACAGGAAACAAUGACAAUUGGUGGACAAGGGCCAGGAGUUUCUGAAGGUGAAAUCUUCGUUGGAUGCAGGAUACAAAGCUGCAAAGCUAAAACAGAAAUAUUAUUAUUUCGGGCUUGGAAAUAUCCUUCCAUCUUUCCUACUAAUUAUGCUGAACCUUACCUCUGUUCCUGUUCCCUGCUUCAGUAGCUCAGUUCUCCCUUGACCCUGCCCUCUUCUUCGGAUGUUUUCUGAGAAAUAAGCCCCACUAUGCUGGGUAGUGUUUAUUUCACAGAAAAAUUGGCAGCUGGA
Molecule: long non-coding RNA, 777 nt
Organism: Crotalus tigris (Tiger rattlesnake)
Lineage: Eukaryota; Metazoa; Chordata; Lepidosauria; Squamata; Viperidae
Exons: 4
Source: RefSeq, a predicted model, not a curated record